This 896-nucleotide long non-coding RNA is filed under the name Homo sapiens (human). RNAcentral describes it as "long non-coding RNA NONHSAT231044". The record is from RNAcentral. Lineage: Eukaryota; Metazoa; Chordata; Mammalia; Primates; Hominidae.
GCCUGUAAUCUCAGCUACUUGGAAGGCGGAGGCAGGAUAAUCACUUGAACCCGGGAGGUUGCAGUGACCCCAGAUAAUGCCACCCCACUCCAGCCUGGGCGACAGAGCGUCACUGUCUCAAAAAUAAACAAAAAUAAUAGGAGAUUAGGCAAAAAGGAUAGUACAAGGCUCUCUGUUUAACAUUUCUUCCUUUCUCUAGAAAAUUUUCCUUUCUUUUCCCAAAAGGAGGUGUGUGUUACUUCCAAUGCUAUAUUUUAGUAGCUUUACCAUAUUUUAGUUUUUAAAAUUCAUUAUUUUGAUUUCUCAGCUUUCAUUUUCAUUUCAGUUUGUACCUGAAGGAGAGAAGCAUGGAUUGAAUUUGCCUGGGUUUUCCGAAUUUCAUAAUAUAAAUUUAAAACUCAGAAGUGGGAGGAAUACAGGCCUUGAUUAGUGAAUUUCAAGCUCAGUUCUCGGGGUGAAGGACAAGGUUAAUUCUACUCUGAGUAAUUCUACCGUUCAGAAAACCUGGUGUGUCUACAGGAAAAAAUACAGGCUGUGACUACAAACCUAAAAGUAAAGGCAAACAACUGCCAGACAGAGGCAGGAAAGUGGGGGAGAGCCCUUGGUAAAUAUUGCAUGCCUCCUGGGGCCCCCAUGGGCUUUGACUCAAGGGGGAGAUGAAGGGAAUUUGUUAAAGAAAGAAGUCACUGGGACAGACAAAAGCUUCCGGCACAGGAAGUUAGUUCGACUAAGGAUACCGAAAUGUAGGAAUUUGAAUGGGUUCCUGGGUGUGAGGUUGAAGUGAAACUUGAUUGAAAAGAAGCUGCUGGUGGUGAGUCUCUCCUUAAGCUAUUCCUGGCUUCUGGGUAGUUGGUGUAAACUCUGUGGUCCUUGAAUAAAGUGUGCUUGAGAAUUUU